This 375-nucleotide transfer-messenger RNA is filed under the name Candidatus Nesterenkonia stercoripullorum. It matches the Rfam family "transfer-messenger RNA". From Rfam's summary of the family: Bacterial tmRNA, also known as 10Sa RNA or SsrA, is named for its dual tRNA and mRNA-like properties. Its role is to liberate the mRNA from a stalled ribosome. The record is from RNAcentral. Lineage: Bacteria; Bacillati; Actinomycetota; Actinomycetes; Micrococcales; Micrococcaceae.
GGGGACGAUCGGUUUCGACGAUCUGAGUUGAUCAUGGGGAAGCGGGUCGAGGACGCAGAGUGACCUCGUUAAAACCCCUCUUGCAACCAAAUAAGUGCCGAAUCUAAGCGCACUGACUUCGCCCUCGCUGCCUGAUAGCAGCGACGCGAGUCUGUCAGCCUGAGUACGCUAUCGACUCAGUGUCUGGCAUCAGCUAGAUAGCCACUGGACAGCGAACUUGCCGUGGGAACGCUGCUCAACAUUGACACGGAUAGGCCCGGGCCAGCCACUUGUCUGCAUGAUGGCUGGGGCCGAUGAAGACCCGCAGCAGACUGCACCCGGAGAAGCCCAUGUGAAUCCAGAUCGGACGCGGGUUCGAUUCCCGCCGUCUCCACC